Non-coding RNA from Clostridium sp. CAG:138, 353 nucleotides. It matches the Rfam family "transfer-messenger RNA". Rfam says of the family: Bacterial tmRNA, also known as 10Sa RNA or SsrA, is named for its dual tRNA and mRNA-like properties. Its role is to liberate the mRNA from a stalled ribosome. To accomplish this part of the tmRNA is used as a reading frame that ends in a translation stop signal. Lineage: Bacteria; Bacillati; Bacillota; Clostridia; Eubacteriales; Clostridiaceae. The record is from Rfam.
GGGGGCGUACAUGGUUUCGACGGGGAUCAUGGGUGCCGGAUAAGCGAGCCGAAGCCCCGAGCUUCGCUAAAAUCGGGAAAACUUAAAAAAUAAACGACGAAUCCAAUUUCGUACCCGUCGCUGCUUAACCGGCGACUGUCCGCCCACCGUUGCCCACGACGGCGGUAACGGGCAUCAUUAAUGUGGGGAACCAACCCGGGCUUGACUUGACCCGGGCGGGAUUAAAAGUCUACUGAAACCGUAAUCCUGUCGGUAGGAGUGCGGCAGAGGGAAUGUCAAAAUAUCGACUACGCUCGUAGAAAGUCUUGUAAACAGGUUUUCGGACAGGGGUUCGACUCCCCUCGCCUCCACCA